RNAcentral lists this unclassified non-coding RNA (390 nucleotides) under soil metagenome. RNAcentral's name for it is "partial contains 5.8S ribosomal RNA, internal transcribed spacer 2, and large subunit ribosomal RNA". The stretch from base 1 to 122 matches the Rfam family "5.8S ribosomal RNA", at positions 35 to 154 of the family's 154-position model. The record is from RNAcentral.
GAUGAAGAACGUAGCGAAAUGCGAUACUUGGUGUGAAUUGCAGAAUCCCGCGAAUCAUCGAGUUUUUGAACGCAAGUUGCGCCCGAAGCCAUUCGGCCGAGGGCACGUCUGCCUGGGUGUCACGCAUCGUUGCCCCCCCAAGCUCCGGUUCGGGCAGGGCGGAAGUUGGCCUCCCGUGCGUGCCUGCGCGCGCGGUUAGCCCAAAAGCGAGUCCUCGGCGACGAGCGCCACGACAAUCGGUGGUUUUUUUACCCUCGUUCCUCGUCGUGCGUGCCCCGUCGCCCGAACGCGCUCUUGCGACCCUUACGCGUCGCCUCGGCGGCGCUCCCAACGCGACCCCAGGUCAGGCGGGACUACCCGCUGAGUUUAAGCAUAUCAAUAAGCGGAGGA